UGGGGGAUAUUGCACAAUGGGGGAAACCCUGAUGCAGCGACGCCGCGUGGAGGAAGAAGGUUUUCGGAUUGUAAACUCCUGUCGUUAGGGACGAUAAUGACGGUACCUAACAAGAAAGCACCGGCUAACUACGUGCCAGCAGCCGCGGUAAAACGUAGGGUGCAAGCGUUGUCCGGAAUUACUGGGUGUAAAGGGAGCGCAGGCGGACCGGCAAGUUGGAAGUGAAAACCAUGGGCUCAACCCAUGAAUUGCUUUCAAAACUGCUGGCCUUGAGUAGUGCAGAGGUAGGCGGAAUUCCCGGUGUAGCGGUGGAAUGCGUAGAUA
RNAcentral lists this ribosomal RNA (324 nucleotides) under uncultured Gemmiger sp. Its description in RNAcentral is "bacterial SSU rRNA". It matches the Rfam family "Bacterial small subunit ribosomal RNA", at positions 355 to 696 of the family's 1533-position model. The record is from RNAcentral. Lineage: Bacteria; Bacillati; Bacillota; Clostridia; Eubacteriales; Oscillospiraceae.